Molecule: non-coding RNA, 27 nt
Filed under: Rattus norvegicus (Norway rat)
Lineage: Eukaryota; Metazoa; Chordata; Mammalia; Rodentia; Muridae
Source: RNAcentral
UAGCCUGAGCUACGGGGCCGAGGCAGU